This 69-nucleotide small nucleolar RNA is filed under the name Mesocricetus auratus (golden hamster). RNAcentral's name for it is "Small nucleolar RNA SNORA51 (ENSMAUG00000003869.1)". It matches the Rfam family "Small nucleolar RNA SNORA51". From Rfam's summary of the family: ACA51 is a member of the H/ACA class of snoRNA that guide the sites of modification of uridines to pseudouridines. Lineage: Eukaryota; Metazoa; Chordata; Mammalia; Rodentia; Cricetidae. The record is from RNAcentral.
GGCCUCCUUGUGCUUACCAUAGGCGGUGUUCUUACACUGACUGUAUAGAAAGAGGAGGCAGACAGAUGG